Molecule: ribosomal RNA, 253 nt
Filed under: uncultured bacterium
Lineage: Bacteria
Description: partial 16S ribosomal RNA
Rfam family: Bacterial small subunit ribosomal RNA
Source: RNAcentral
UACGUAGGGGGCUAGCGUUGUCCGGAUUUAUUGGGCGUAAAGAGCGUGUAGGCGGCCAGGUAGGUCUGCUGUGAAAACUCGAGGCUCAACCUCGAGACGUCGGCGGAAACCAUCUGGCUAGAGUCCGGAAGAGGAGAGUGGAAUUCCUGGUGUAGCGGUGAAGUGCGCAGAUAUCAGGAGGAACACCGGUGGCGAAGGCGGGUCUCUGGGCCGAUACUGACGCUGAGGAGCGAAAGCGUGGGGAGCGAACAGG